UACGUAGGCAGCGAGCGUUGUUCGGAGUUACUGGGCGUAAAGGGUGCGUAGGCGGUUGUUUAAGUUUGGUGUGAAAUCUCCCGGCUCAACUGGGAGGGUGCGCCGAAUACUGAAUGACUAGAGUGCGGGAGAGGAUAGUGGAAUUCCUGGUGUAGCGGUGAAAUGCGUAGAUAUCAGGAGGAACACCGGUGGUGUAGACGGCUUUCUGGACCGUAACUGACGCUGAGACACGAAAGCGUGGGUAGCAAACAGG
RNAcentral lists this ribosomal RNA (253 nucleotides) under uncultured bacterium. RNAcentral describes it as "partial 16S ribosomal RNA". It matches the Rfam family "Bacterial small subunit ribosomal RNA", at positions 524 to 776 of the family's 1533-position model. The record is from RNAcentral.